Molecule: long non-coding RNA, 643 nt
Filed under: Helianthus annuus (common sunflower)
Lineage: Eukaryota; Viridiplantae; Streptophyta; Magnoliopsida; Asterales; Asteraceae
Source: RNAcentral
AACAGUUCACUCUAAAGUCUUGUGUGAGUUUCUUGUUCCUGCUUUGCAAGCUUCUCCUCUAGUCUUUUGAGGUCAUCUUCUGAAGUUGCACACAAAAUGUACAUCAUCACAACCUCUACAUAGGAAUCACAAUUGUCAAGAUACAUCGUAUGAAAAGAUACAACAAAAUUAAAAAUGAAGAGAAGUUAUCGAUACCUAUUGGCAACCCAAGCACAUGACCGUUCAAAUCGAAUACCCCACCAAGAUGCAGAAUACUAAGGAUGAAACGAACCCAAAUCGAAUAGCCGAAGCAAUUCUAGGAAAAAUCAGAAGAUCUGCUGAAAAACUAUCCUAGCAUGCCCCGUGCCCCAUCAGAAAAUACAACUGCAUCUACUGAAGAUCGUUUCCAAAUUCUAGCCAAGAAAGAAAUUAGACACGCCCUGUACCUUAGCCACAAUAUGACAAAAAAAAAAUCUAGGAAGAUUUUUGAAGAUCUAGUGAGCCCCACAAAGUAGACCACGGGUCGUGUCUAGGAUACACGCCCCGUUCUUGGGUCCCAACUAUUGAUCCGGUUAAGACAGCGCCCCUAGCAUUAUAAAUAGUAGCCUUGGCCUUCAUUUUCACUAGCUGAAUUCUAUUCUUUUCUCCACAACACACUCUUCUU